This 4278-nucleotide long non-coding RNA is filed under the name Brassica rapa (field mustard). RNAcentral's name for it is "long non-coding RNA (BRAP_LNC000198)". Lineage: Eukaryota; Viridiplantae; Streptophyta; Magnoliopsida; Brassicales; Brassicaceae. The record is from RNAcentral.
UGAAUCGAGGCCAUAUGGGAAGGUUGCUAUGGGCGGGAGCCAAGAGCUUUCAGAGACUAGGAUCAACCAAUAUAUAGAAACGGAGGCAGUAGCACUCAAUUGGGCAGUUCAAACGAUGCGAAGUCUAGGGUACAAGCAGGUAAUCUACGAAACUGACUCUUUGUUGUUGCCAAAAAUGAUGGCAGGAAGUGAAAAGAUAUGGCCAAAACUUAAACCGAUCAUCCAAGACCCAACCCAAUCACUUUCUGAAUUGCCAGGCUCCAUUGUGUAGUACUAUCCUAUGAGAGAGUAACAAAGUAGGCUUUUCAUCAAUGUUUUUAAAUCCGAUCCGAACACUGAACGGACAACUUACACUAGAUCGUCGAUGGCUGGUGAACCACAAGUUAAUAAAUUAAUUAAUUUUAUUAUAUAAUAAUAUAUUAACUAGAAACUAAAGUUUAAUAUUUUCUAAAUAUUUUUUUAAAACAUAAAAUAAUAGUUUGGAUAUGUAUAUUAUUUAUGUUUAAAAAAUACUUAACUUCAGUUUUUAUAUUUAUAAUUUCAUUUGACAUACAAAAUAUCAAAAAAUAGUUUAUACUAUUUAAAAUUUUCUGUAAAAAGGUAAGAGUUAUGAAAUUUUAAAAAAUCAAGGCAUAAAAUUCAUAAAUAUUUAAAUGCCUAAUGUGAAUAAUAAAUUAAAUUUCAAAUCCAAAAUAAACAAAAACAAAGAUAAAAUUGAUGUUUGCGGAUGCGGGUGAUUGCGGUUUCUAGCGGUUUUAAGAGAUUUGUACGAUUCGUUCUGCGGUUAGAAAUUGAUGCAUUUGCGGGAUACUUAUGAGUGAUUAACUACCAAAUACAGCAGCAGUUAAAUAAUAAAUUAAAAAUAUUUAUAUUUUAUAUAAUUAUAGAAAUAUCAAAAAUCAUAAUAUUACAAUAAAUGUAAAAUUAUAUCUAGAAAGUUAUAGUUUUAAAUUUUAAAAAAUUAUAGAAAAUAUUUUUAUUUUCAAAAAUUAUAAUAUUAAUUAAAAUAAAUAGAUAUAUUUUAGUAUUUUUAUAAUUCUAAUUUAAAUUUAUUAUUGAAUAUUUUUAUUUUUGAAUUUAUGAGGUUUAAAGCGGUUUAUAGCGAUUUUGAAGCUGUUUAGAGUGAUUUGAGUUAUUGUUGCAAAACGCCAACAACCGCUACCAACUGCCCGCUACCAAAUCGCUCUAAACCGCUCUAAACCUCAUAAAUUCAAAAGCUGGUUCCAACUAGCGUUUGCAGUUGCGGAAGGAUUUUUUUUCUUUAAAAAAACCAAUAUAAAUACCAAAAUAAAAAUAUUCAAUUAAAAUUUUAAAUUGGAAUUAUAAAAAUACUAAAGUAUAUCUACUAUAUUUUAAUUAAUAUUAUAAAUUUUAUAAAUAAAAAUAACUUCUAUAGUUUCUUUCUUAAUAUAAUUUUUAUAUUUAUUAUAAUAUUAUGAUUUUUGAUAUUUUAUAAUUAUAUAAAAUAUAAAUAUUGCUAAUUUAUUAUUUACCUGCAAACACACAAAUUUCUAACCACAGAACCAGUCGUACGAAUAUAUUAAAACCGCUAGAAACCACAACUGUCCGCAUCCGCAAACUCACGUAACCGCAACUGUUGCGUUUGAACCAUUCAUGCCCUUAGUGUAUGUGUUGGGUUUUCUUCAGUUAAAUUAACAUUUUCAAUAAACCAAAUAUAAUAAUUUUGUCUUCCCGUUGUAAACGCAAUUGUUCUUUUGGUAAAAUGCAAUAUUUUGUUUCCCGUCAAAACUCAUAAUCUCGAUUAAAAAAAGACAAAAUCUCAUUUCCUAUCAAGAACACAAAUUUUCGUUUUUUCAUCAAAAACACAAAAAUUUCAUUUCCGCCAAAAAACGCAAAACAUGUUUUUGCCCAAAAAAAGCAAAAUUUCAUUUUCCCUCCAAAAAAAUGCAAAAUCAUGUUCUUUAACCAAGAAUGCAAAAUCUCAUUUUCCCUCCAAAAAGGCGAAAUCAUUUUUUUUUCCAAAACAUAAAAUUAUAUUUUUCGGUCAAAAUGCAAAAUCCCGUUUCUUCACCAAAAACACAAAAUUCUGAUUUUCCACUAAAACACAAAACUUUAUUUUCUCCCCAAAAACGCGAAAUCACGUUUUCUGCGAAAACGAAACAUAAAAUCUCGUUUUCCUGUCAAAAACAUGAAAUUAUAUUUUCCACCAAAAAUGAGAAAUCCCGUUUUUUCCGCCAAUAACACGAAAUCUCAUUUUCCGCCAAAAACGCGAAAUCUCAUCUUCACGCCAAAACAUGAAAUUUUAUUUCCCACAAAAAAAGCAAAACCUGGUUUUCGCCAAAAUGCAUAAUUCCGGUUUCCCGCCAAAAAUGUAAAAUCUCAUUUUUCGCCAAAAAUUCAACAUUUGGUUUUCUCGCCAAAAAUAUAAAAUCAUGUUUUCCGCCAAAAACGUAAGAUUUUGUUUGUCACAAAAAUGCAAAUUUUAUUUUUCCUACUAAAAACAUAAAAUCUUAUUUUUCGUCGUAAAUAAGUAAACUAAUAUUUAUAUAUGUAAUUUAAUAUAAAAUUAACAAACUAUAUUAAAGUAUUAGGAUAUCCGCAAGUUACCUAAAAUCAGAGGGUUGAUUUCGGGUUAUCCUAACACUGUAGGGUUUUAUUCGGGGUUUUUAUGGGCGGGCUUUUUCGGGUUAGGUGGAGCAGGGGUCUUUUACCCGUGACAACGUCCCUAGAAAUGAUGCCUUACGUUGUGUCAUAAAGUAUUAGAAAUGGCUGGUCCCAUGCGUAGAAACUAGAAAGAGAUUAAAGCCUUGUUUGAACUCUUUUUAAUUAUAAGAAAAUGAUCAUUAAUUGAUAUUAGGUCGGAAAUUUGGCUUCAUUUUACGAAAGUUCACAUACUUAACAAAAAAAAAAUUCAUCUGUCGAAAAAUAUAGUAUCAAAACACGAUUCAUGUAAUCCUAUUCAUAAUCUAUAUGACCCCAAGUUAGUUUCAUCAAUCUUUGCCCAACCUUAUAAAAUUAAUGAUCACAGAGUCAUCGUAAUAUUUUUUUGAAAUCUUAAAUGAUAUAUAACAGAGAUACACUAAUUCACUUCUCACCAAUUUUUGGUUUUAGGUUAGACAUAUCUAAAUUUACCGCAGAGAUAUAUGAUGUUAGUGAUUAAAUCAGAUAUCAAAAGGAUAUGAAACGCAACGGCUAUAUAUGUUCUUCUACUUUUUGGAACCACAAUCACUGUACAUUCAAUAUAUCUUCUACAAUACCAACGAUGAAUUUAGAUUGUGGAGUUAAAAAAUUUAUUUGAUAGUCUUAGGUUUAAGCAAGAAAAAAACACAUCCGUCUUAUUUGUCAACUCUUCAACUAUAUAUUUCCACUAAAAUACAAUAUAAUUGGUUCAAAACUAGAAAAUCAGGUACAUCAACCUCAAAUUUCUAGUAGUUCAAAUGUGAGAUAUAUUAAUACUCAAAGAGGUAGGAAUGCACCGUUAAAGAAAAUGGAUAGUCAUGAAGAUAAUGAUUGAUUUGAGUUAAACUUUGGUAUAUAUAUUUUUUUGGUUUAGUGGAUUCUAUAUGAUGUUGUUAUGAUUAUAUGUCAAUAGGUCUGUAACUGUCUUGAGCUCUUCAAAUCAUCAAAUACAAACAAUAUGCCAGUCUUGUCUCCGGGAGGUGGGUGCUCUUUCAGAUCCACCAUCGUCGGUCUAGUCUCCGGGGGGUGAAGGCUUUCACAGUCUUGCGUCGCCGGCUUUAGGUUUUGCUUCGUUUAGUUGGUUCGGCUCUGGUCCUGGUGAUGUUUUUUGAGAGUGUGUGGGUUGGCUCUUGGUUCGAAGUGGUCUGCGGUGGGAUCUGUCGGUUGAGCUCUCGAUUGGAUCGAUGAGGCUCUCCGAAGGUUUGACAAAGCGGGGAAGAGAUGAAGUGGUCUCGUGGGUGGCCCUUUGGUGUUUCUGAGUUCGAGGUCGGGGGUGGUGAAACUCCGGCGAUGCUUCGACACGGUGGCGGUCAAGUCGAGACGGAAGUGGCGCGUGGCGUGCUGAUGGGUCCUUAUCCUUCCACGCGUCCGGUUUCCUUGAUACGCAGUCCGACUGAAAUCGAGCGAGUUGGGUUUGGGCCUCAGACGGGUUAAGGUUGUAAUAGUGGCCCAUUAGAAGCGGGUUUGGGUUUGGGUUUGUUGUAUGGUUGGGCCUAGGGCCCUUGUUGGGUUUUAACUCUUUUAAAUAAAAAAUAAAUUGGCGGGAAAAAAAAAAAAAACAAUAUGCCAUCUCUUCUUAUUUCCUCCUCAUGAGCUCCCAUCUCUUCUUAUAUAUAUAUAUAUAUAUAUUAUGCUUGC